AGCAUAUCAAUAAGCGGAGGAAAAGAAACUAACAAGGAUUCCCCUAGUAACUGCGAGUGAAGCGGGAAAAGCUCAAAUUUAAAAUCUGGCAGUCUUUGGCUGUCCGAGUUGUAGUCUGGAGAAGUGCUUUCCGCGCUGGACCGUGUACAAGUCUCUUGGAACAGAGCGUCGUAGAGGGUGAGAAUCCCGUCUUUGACACGGACUACCAGUGCUUUGUGAUGUGCUCUCAAAGAGUCGAGUUGUUUGGGAAUGCAGCUCAAAAUGGGUGGUAAAUUCCAUCUAAAGCUAAAUAUUGGCGAGAGACCGAUAGCGAACAAGUACCGUGAGGGAAAGAUGAAAAGCACUUUGGAAAGAGAGUUAAACAGUACGUGAAAUUGCUGAAAGGGAAACGYUUGAAGUCAGUCGCGUUGGCCAGGACUCAGCCUGGCAUUUUUAAUGCUUGGUGUAUUUUCUGGUUGACGGGCCAGCAUCGAUUUUUAUCACUGGACAAAGGCUGGGGGAAUGUGGCACCUUCGGGUGUGUUAUAGCCCUUGGUUGCAUACAGUGGUGGAGAUCGAGGACCGCAGCACGCCUUUAUGGCCGGGGUUCGCCCACGAUCGUGCUUAGGAUGCUGGCGUAAUGGCUUUAAACGACCCGUCUUGAAACACGGACCAAGGAGUCUAACAUGCCUGCGAGUGUUUGGGUGGUAAAACCCGAGCGCGCAAUGAAAGUAAAAGUUGAGAUCCCUGUCGUGGGGAGCAUCGACGCCCGGACCUGAACCUCGGUGAUGGAUCUGCGGUAGAGCAUGUAUGUUGGGACCCGAAAGAUGGUGAACUAUGCCUGAAUAGGGUGAAGCCAGAGGAAACUCUGGUGGAGGCUCGUAGCGAUUCUGACGUGCAAAUCGAUCGUCAAAUUUGGGUAUAGGGGCGAAAGACUAAUCGAACCAUCUAGUAGCUGGUUCCUG
This 943-nucleotide ribosomal RNA is filed under the name Fomitopsis oleracea. RNAcentral describes it as "Antrodiopsis oleracea partial large subunit ribosomal RNA". It matches the Rfam family "Eukaryotic large subunit ribosomal RNA", at positions 37 to 960 of the family's 3401-position model. Lineage: Eukaryota; Fungi; Basidiomycota; Agaricomycetes; Polyporales; Fomitopsidaceae. The record is from RNAcentral.